Molecule: long non-coding RNA, 2019 nt
Filed under: Equus caballus (horse)
Lineage: Eukaryota; Metazoa; Chordata; Mammalia; Perissodactyla; Equidae
Description: lncRNA (ENSECAG00000055703.1)
Source: RNAcentral
ACGCCAACCUGCUUCUUUGGGUGUGCUGCUCUGUGAGUCUGAAGGAACGUUUAUCCCACCUCAACAAAUGUCGGUUAUAUUUCUAGAAAUGGAAUUGCUGCAGCAGAAGGACUGCAUAUGUUAACACUAGAGACAGACGACCAGCUUGUUUUUCUACAGUUUGUUCCAGUUUCCACUCAUCUCAACAGUUUACGGGGAUCUACAUCUCACUGAAAUCAUGAUGACAGCGGGUGAGGACGAGAAGUUGGCUAUCUACUACCCUGAAGAGGGCUCUCCCCACAACCCACCCACGCUGGCACCCUGAUCUCAGACUUCCCGCCACCAGAACUGUGAGAAAUAGACUUCUGUUGUUCAUACCCACCCAGUCUGCAGUAGGUUGCUAUCGCAGCCUGAAGGAAGACAUAUAUGGUUACAGUUUCAAUUUGCAUUCCUUGGAUUACUAGUGUUUUUAUUUCAAGUAAAAAUGUUAAAAUGUGGCUGCUUCAGCUGACAACUUUGAGUAUCAUGGAAGCACUUCUCCUGGAGACAAUCAUCAUACAAACAUUGAAAUACAUUUAUCAAAACAAGACAAAUACCCCCCCCUGGGAAGAAUAUGACAAGAAUGCAUGCCGCAUAUGACUUGGAGUGGAAAUUCAUUUUAAUCUCAGGGUCAUAGAAUGUUGACAUCCAUUAAAAUGAAAGCUGCUGUCUGUCUCUGUCUCGUCUUUGGACCCAGAAGAGCACCUCGUACAAAACGCCUGCUUCAAUAAGACUUCAACUUUGAUGAUGAGACUAUUAGGAGAACAUGAUGCCCUUCACCACAGAGCUAAAUAAGCACCUGGCCCGGUGAGGAUGCUGCGGGAGCCCCAGGAGCCGCAGGAGCUGGGGACUGACUGGUGCCUCACACCACCCUGGUGAGCCAGCAGAUAAGCCAUGCACAGCCUGUCGUUUUGACUGGAAAUGAUCUUCGACAGUGGGAUUUUGAGAAAAGAUAGAACGCUGCCACUCCCCCCAGUGCCCUGCAAUAUCUCCAUCUAUCUCAAGGGACUUACUCUUCACAUCUUCAGGAAGAGUCAACCUUUCUGCAAUUAAUGAACCCUAUUCACUAAGAUCCUGUUGGCAUGACAAUCAGGAUGUUUUGGUACUAUGUUUCAUUUUACUUUAUGCCCAACCUAGCUUGGCAGCGAGGAGGCAGGAGAGACGCAGUGCUCUCCUCCAUUCGGUCAUUCGGGGAUCUGGACUGCCAGUCCCCGUCUUUCUCUUUGGCACCAACUGGAACACAAGGCUCGCUCCUCCAUUGCAGAGCAGAAGAGUUGGAGAAGGAAUCAUUCAGGAACAAUGAAGUGCUUCAAUUGUCAUUCGGGGCAAUUAAGAAACAACUUACUAUGAAGGCUGCAGAAUACGUGUCCACUGGUGCUCUUGGAUGGAAGAAGGGGUCAUGGAUCCCCUGUGGUCAGUGCUGGACCUGGAUCUGAAGGGAGGAAGAGUUUCAGAACUGCCAUCUUUUUUGGAUAUACAAGCGUUUCCUGAAAACCAUGGAAAGAGAGUAUAGAACUUCACUUCCAUUUUAUUUAAUUAUCAUCUGGCUUAUAAUACAUUUCUACAUAUUUCCUAUUCCAAAAAUGCAGUUUCGUAAAAGCUGUCCUUCACAAGACGCGAGGACUCGAUUCAUUUUGGAAGAAACCCUGGUUCCAAGUAGAUUCUAUCAGCUCUGUGACCAUUACAUGUGUUUCACCUACUGAGAAAGGCUUCCGGAAGCUGUCUCCUGAUUAUUUGAUAUGUCUUCUUCAGGGUCUUAGUCUUAAUCAUUUCAUUUGUUUUGUCUAAAAGUAUUCUGUUGAAUUGAGCCAGCCAUUUUACAUCAUUUUUCUAUAAUAAACGAGUUUAAACUCACAAGAGAGUCUUUUCUCUCCAAUUUCUAACAAAAUCACUGUGUAGUUUUAGGAUACACAUAAAAUUUGACCAAAAGCAGUUUCCUCUUCUGGACUUUCUGGGGCUAUGUUUCCUUUUCUUUGGAUAAUCCUUUAGCUUUUCUAUCAU